AUCUUUGAGAAUAGCCAUUCCAAUUUCAAUAUUAUAUUAAUUUUGAGUAAAAAUCUAUUCUUUUUGAUUUCCACAAGAGAAUAUUAAGUUUUUGGUUCUUCAAGAUUCAUAUCCUUGAUAAUUUGACAAGAAUGAUAAUUCAUUGUUCUUAUCUUGUUUUUAGAAGUGAAUGAACUAUUCCACUUUUAUUGUUGUAUUUUGAAGGUUGUAGACUAUCUACCUUCAAUCUAAUAUUUUAAUAUUGAUUAUGAUGGCUUUGAUGGCAAGAAUCCUUGCUGAUCUCCAAGUAAAUUGCUUAAAAUCAGAAUUAUAGUUAAAACUUACAAUUAAAUUAACAAAUUAAUUAGUUUUUAUGAUUUAGAACUUGGAUUUGGGCUUGUGAGUAGUCAAUCUUAGGAUAAAAAUCUGUUUUAGAAAUACUAUUGGUAUUAAUUUUGCCAAAAAGGUGUUAAUUUCUUGACUUAUAGGUAUUUUAAGCCUUAGAAUUGAGUUUAGGCUUAAAGUAUUUCUAGACCCUUGAUCUUGGUUAGGGGUUUUUUGAUGUGGAUGGUAGAAAUGUAGUUGCUACUUUUUGCCUCCUCCCACUUGGUUAAGAGGGCUUGGAUGGCUGAACCCCCUCUCUCUUUUUCCAUCUCUCUCUAUCUUCUUGUGGCGAAGCCAUGGCAAAAU
RNAcentral lists this long non-coding RNA (669 nucleotides) under Physcomitrium patens. RNAcentral's name for it is "long non-coding RNA (PPAT_LNC008516)". The record is from RNAcentral. Lineage: Eukaryota; Viridiplantae; Streptophyta; Bryopsida; Funariales; Funariaceae.